AAGACAGAGCGAGAUCCUGCUUCUUACAAAAAAAAGAAAGAAAAAAAUUUUUGUAGCAGUUAACAAACUUUCUUUUCUAUGUAGGGUAUGAUAAAUGGACAUAUCUACUCUGUGCUGUUUGAACCUACUAAACUAAAAAAAAAUGAUGUCUUUAGUUAAAUAAAGUAAGCAUCACGCUUAAUAGGAUUGCUAUUUCCAUUUGCAGCAGAAAGAUCUCAGAGUAAAGAAGAACUUAAAGAAAUUCAGAUAUGUGAAGUUGAUUUCCAUGGAAACCUCGUCAUCCUCUGAUGACAGUUGUGACAGCUUUGCUUCUGAUAAUUUUGCAAACACGAGGCUGCAGUCAGUUCGGGAAGGCUGUAGGACCCGCAGCCAGUGCAGGCACUCUGGACCUCUCAGGGUGGCGAUGAAGUUUCCAGCGCGAAGUACCAGGGGAGCAACCAACAAAAAAGCAGAGUCCCCCCAGCCCUCAGAGAAUUCUGUGACUGAUUCCAACUCCGAUUCAGAAGAUGAAAGUGGAAUGAAUUUUUUGGAGAAAAGGGCUUUAAAUAUAAAGCAGAACAAAGCAAUGCUUGCAAAACUCAUGUCUGAAUUAGAAAGCUUCCCUGGCUCGUUCCGUGGAAGACAUCCCCUCCCAGGCUCCGACUCACAAUCAAGGAGACCGCGAAGGCGUACAUUCCCGGGUGUUGCUUCCAGGAGAAACCCUGAACGGAGAGCUCGUCCUCUUACCAGGUCAAGGUCCCGGAUCCUCGGGUCCCUUGAUGCUCUACCCAUGGAGGAGGAGGAGGAAGAGGAUAAGUACAUGUUGGUGAGAAAGAGGAAGACCAUGGAUGGCUACAUGAAUGAAGAUGACCUGCCCAGAAGCCGUCGCUCCAGAUCAUCCGUGACCCUUCCGCAUAUAAUUCGCCC
This 906-nucleotide small RNA is filed under the name Pan troglodytes (chimpanzee). RNAcentral's name for it is "retained intron". Lineage: Eukaryota; Metazoa; Chordata; Mammalia; Primates; Hominidae. The record is from RNAcentral.